UACGCCAACCCUUAUGCUGCAAUUUCCCCCAACUUCCCCUCCAUUACUUUAUUUUUUUUUCUCUUUCCUCUUCCCCCUUUCUCCUCUCGACAACCCCCUUCCUUCUUCUUUUCUUUUUCUCUCCCUUCUCUCUUUCUCUUCUCCCCCUCACGCAUUCUCCCUUCUACCAUAGCACCCCCAUCUUUUUCCCCUCCAUUUAUUUUCUUUCACUUUCUCUAACUUCAUCAUCUACUUGUCUCACCAUUGUUCUCACCGUUGCACACCGUCCGCUCAAGCCGAGCGCCCUUGCCCUUGAGCUCAACUUCAACGAACCGUUGCCGUUCGAGUUGCGAGCCUCGUGAUUUCGUCGCUAUUGCGCUGCCGCUGCCAGGAGUUCUUCAAUCCACAAAUUAUGCCCUAGAUGGAAGACUGUCAAGCCAGAUGCAGAGGGUUGCAGGAGGUGGGGUAUGAGUUUUUCUGUAGCCUUUUCCAGAUGUUGAUGGAUCUUCCGUCUGAUCUAGAUAAUGGGUGACAGCUCACCCAGGACUAUCGAAAAGUCUAGCAAAGUCGUAGGGAGGGACUUGAUCUCAUGGAUGAGGAGCUUGGAGCGUAGAUAGCCUAGAAGCUCUUCUUUUUGAUAUAGAUCCCUGUUAUGUUAGACUUUUAUGUACAUAAAUACUACUGUAAAAAAGUGUGUGUUUUAUGAAAAUAUAAUCAUAUGUUUGCUAUCCCA
Molecule: long non-coding RNA, 712 nt
Organism: Eucalyptus grandis
Lineage: Eukaryota; Viridiplantae; Streptophyta; Magnoliopsida; Myrtales; Myrtaceae
Exons: 2
Source: RefSeq, a predicted model, not a curated record